Lontra canadensis (Northern American river otter) is the source of this 1144-nucleotide long non-coding RNA. RefSeq lists it as uncharacterized. The record is from RefSeq and is a predicted model, not a curated record. The transcript is spliced from 2 exons. Lineage: Eukaryota; Metazoa; Chordata; Mammalia; Carnivora; Mustelidae.
GCACUCUGUCAUGCACCUGGGCUCUCAAGUCACAGCGUGCGACCUCUGAUGAUUGGACUAUGCCCUGUUUUUCGUUUUCUAAGCAGUUUCUAAUUCUGGUGAUUGUGUGAUGUAAAGAGGUGCUAUGAUGGUCAUGCAAUUAAUACUUAAUAUUGAAUCAAUACACAGAACUUUAACGGAUUCACUUUGUGUGUGUUAGCGCUCUAAAAGUAGCAAUACUAUUAAAUUGCCCCCAGACUGACCCCGUAGGCUUAAAAUACUCCCGUUCUAAGACGAGUACUACUUCCCAUGCAGGGUACUGUUCCUUAUGGUAAAUGUAAACACAUAGACUGCAUUCAAGGGGGACCUGAAGUAGAGAGGUCAUGAAAUUGGAGGAUGGGCUUCCUUUUGGGUUCAGUGUUAGCGAGAGGGAGAUGGAUGGUGGGGGAGGGUAGGUAUUCCAGUCUCUUAUGUCCUGUAGUACAUUUUUCAUGAAUGCCCUACUUUGUGUGCAGUUUCCACUGGAAUGGUGGAAGAUAAAGGUCUUUUAUCUGCUAAUAAUGUGGUCAGAACUUAAGUAGCUGUCUCCAGUCCCUCUCCCCUAACAAGUGCAGUUUGGAAUCUCAUUCUGGAAGAGAUGGAAUCGCAUGGAGGCUCUCUAGAUGUUAGGUAGACCUAAAUAAAGGUUCCGAGUAGAUCCUCUGUCCCUAUAAGACCUCUUGUAGCCACAAUGUUUUAGAGCAUGUUUGAUUGUUUCCUCUUCAUUUUUAAUAUCUUGAACUGAAUGAUAGUCUUUUUUAGAUGAAGAACUGAUGUCAGCCUGCCAGACUCUGGAAUUGGCGUUUGGUGGUGUGAAGCGUUGCCCACAAGUGGCCGGAACUCCUCUUCCUAAAGGAUUUUGAGAUUGAGAAACAGCUGUAAAACCUCCCCCUUAUGCCUUGGUUCUAGUUCCUCCCUCCGAGUUGAAAAACUAUUUUUUAAAAAAUUUUUUGUUGUUUUUGUUUUAGUUGGUGCUCUGACGCUUAAUCUCAGUACCCUUUACUCUUGAUUGUCAAAUUUUGAUAAAACAUGUGCCAUUUUCUUUGGUAAGAGAAAGCAGGUCUUAUGUCUGCCAGAACACGAUUUAUAUGCCUUAUUGGCUCCAUUAAACUUUUUAAAAACUUUA